RNAcentral lists this transfer RNA (76 nucleotides) under Vibrio cholerae. RNAcentral's name for it is "tRNA-Asn". It matches the Rfam family "tRNA". From Rfam's summary of the family: Transfer RNA (tRNA) molecules are approximately 80 nucleotides in length. Their secondary structure includes four short double-helical elements and three loops (D, anti-codon, and T loops). Lineage: Bacteria; Pseudomonadati; Pseudomonadota; Gammaproteobacteria; Vibrionales; Vibrionaceae. The record is from RNAcentral.
GCUCCUUUAGUUCAGUUGGUAGAACGGCGGACUGUUAAUCCGUAUGUCGUAAGUUCGAGUCUUGCAAGGAGCGCCA